GACAGCCAUUACUCAUUAGAUAAUUGUGUUGAGUGGUUGUCAAAAGUUUUCCUAUUUUUCCAUGAAAAUUACCGAUGAAUUCAUAAGAAGGAACUGGAAAGGAAACAGUAGCAUACAAGUUGCCUACCAUCACUAACACCAACUCUUUUAUUAAAAAUCUUCGUUCUGCUGAAUGCAUCAUGCAGUUAAUACAGGUCACUACCCCAGUGUGGACAUGUUUGUUUUUCAACAAAUAAUUCAUUGACAUACAAGGAAAACUAUGAAAAAUAUCAUAUCAUCUUGGCCAAUCUUCAGGUUUAUUGCAGCAGCUUAAGAGAAGAAUAUGAACAAAUGCAGGGCAAAUACCAACAUGUGUUGUAUUUUUCUGAAUGUUAAACACAAGCAAUUCAACAUGACUAACUGUUUGAUGCCAAAGUUGGUUGGAACUCAACUCACUGUACGUACUCUAACACAGAAAACUGGUGCUGUUGCCUUUCAGCCACAGGCAGGAAAAUCAUUCUUUUCUUCAGAAAAUUGGAAAGCUGCUGGAGUAAUCUGGUGUUCAUGCUCAUUUGAUUCAUUUCGUGCCAGCUAGUGAAAGCCGAAAGGCAUGUCAAUUCAAUUGAGUUGCUCCGUGCUGUCUCGAAGCAAGCAAUC
Molecule: long non-coding RNA, 636 nt
Filed under: Daphnia pulex (common water flea)
Lineage: Eukaryota; Metazoa; Arthropoda; Branchiopoda; Diplostraca; Daphniidae
Description: uncharacterized LOC124194432, transcript variant X1
Source: RNAcentral